AUUGAACGCUGGCGGCAGGCCUAACACAUGCAAGUCGAACGGUAACAGGAAGCAGCUUGCUGCUUUGCUGACGAGUGGCGGACGGGUGAGUAAUGUCUGGGAAACUGCCUGAUGGAGGGGGAUAACUACUGGAAACGGUAGCUAAUACCGCAUAACGUCGCAAGACCAAAGAGGGGGACCUUAGGGCCUCUUGCCAUCGGAUGUGCCCAGAUGGGAUUAGCUAGUAGGUGGGGUAACGGCUCACCUAGGCGACGAUCCCAAGCUGGUCUGAGAGGAUGACCAGCCACACUGGAACUGAGACACGGUCCAGACUCCUACGGGAGGCAGCAGUGGGGAAUAUUGCACAAUGGGCGCAAGCCUGAUGCAGCCAUGCCGCGUGUAUGAAGAAGGCCUUCGGGUUGUAAAGUACUUUCAGCGGGGAGGAAGGGAGUAAAGUUAAUACCUUUGCUCAUUGACGUUACCCGCAGAAGAAGCACCGGCUAACUCCGUG
This 490-nucleotide ribosomal RNA is filed under the name uncultured bacterium. Its description in RNAcentral is "partial 16S ribosomal RNA". It matches the Rfam family "Bacterial small subunit ribosomal RNA", at positions 30 to 507 of the family's 1533-position model. The record is from RNAcentral.